UCUGGCUCAGAUUGAACGCUGGCGGCAGGCCUAACACAUGCAAGUCGAACGGUAGCACAGAGAGCUUGCUCUCGGGUGACGAGUGGCGGACGGGUGAGUAAUGUCUGGGAAACUGCCCGAUGGAGGGGGAUAACUACUGGAAACGGUAGCUAAUACCGCAUAACGUCUUCGGACCAAAGUGGGGGACCUUCGGGCCUCACACCAUCGGAUGUGCCCAGAUGGGAUUAGCUAGUAGGUGGGGUAAUGGCUCACCUAGGCGACGAUCCCUAGCUGGUCUGAGAGGAUGACCAGCCACACUGGAACUGAGACACGGUCCAGACUCCUACGGGAGGCAGCAGUGGGGAAUAUUGCACAAUGGGCGCAAGCCUGAUGCAGCCAUGCCGCGUGUAUGAAGAAGGCCUUCGGGUU
Molecule: ribosomal RNA, 408 nt
Filed under: Erwinia sp. AE_73
Lineage: Bacteria; Pseudomonadati; Pseudomonadota; Gammaproteobacteria; Enterobacterales; Erwiniaceae
Description: bacterial SSU rRNA
Rfam family: Bacterial small subunit ribosomal RNA
Source: RNAcentral